UACGUAGGUGGCGAGCGUUACCCGGAUUGAUUGGGCGUAAAGGGUCCGCAGGCGGUUUGAAAAGUCAAUGGUCAAAUCUUGAGGCUUAACCUCAAGACUGCUAUUGAUACUUUCAAACUAGAGACUGGGAGAGGCAAACGGAAUUGCCGGUGUAGUAGUAAAAUGCGUUGAUAUCGGUAGGAACACCAAAAGCGAAGGCAGUUUGCUGGAACAGUUCUGACGCUCAGGGACGAAAGCGUGGGUAGCGAAUGGG
RNAcentral lists this ribosomal RNA (253 nucleotides) under uncultured bacterium. Its description in RNAcentral is "partial 16S ribosomal RNA". It matches the Rfam family "Bacterial small subunit ribosomal RNA", at positions 524 to 776 of the family's 1533-position model. The record is from RNAcentral.